CACUAGUGUUUAUUUAUGAUGUGACAGAAACAGAAGGAUGAAUUAUGAAGUGUAUAGGGAUGUAUAGUCUGCUCAGAUUCAGUGAAGGUGAUUGAACGUCACUUCACUUUAUAGAUGAACAAUGACCCAAAACAUACUGCGAAAGCAACCCAGGAGUUUUUCUUUUGUUUAAGGCAAAGAAGUGGAGUAUUGUGUAGUGGUCAAGUCAACCACCUGAUCCCAACCUGAUUGAGCAUGCCUUUCACUGAAGACAAAGAGUAAGGUAGAAAGACCUACAAACAAACAACUGAAGACAGCUGCAGUAAAGGCCUG
This is a non-coding RNA of Pelobates cultripes (western spadefoot toad), 312 nucleotides long. The record is from the annotation of a GenBank genome assembly. NCBI's taxonomy places the organism in Eukaryota, Metazoa, Chordata, Amphibia, Anura, Pelobatidae.